RNAcentral lists this small nucleolar RNA (121 nucleotides) under Echinops telfairi (small Madagascar hedgehog). Its description in RNAcentral is "Small nucleolar RNA SNORA61 (ENSETEG00000026664.1)". Lineage: Eukaryota; Metazoa; Chordata; Mammalia; Afrosoricida; Tenrecidae. The record is from RNAcentral.
ACCUUGCAGAUUCCCUCCCCCUCGGAUCUAAAUAUUGACUGGAGUGGCUAAAAGAGGAGGAAGAGCAAAGCUGGAGAGGACUUGGAGCCUUCAGUGAAAUACAAGUUCAUCUCAAGCACAU